AGUGAACGCUGGCGGUAGGCCUAACACAUGCAAGUCGAACGGCAGCACAGUAAGAGCUUGCUCUUACGGGUGGCGAGUGGCGGACGGGUGAGGAAUACAUCGGAAUCUACUUUUUCGUGGGGGAUAACGUAGGGAAACUUACGCUAAUACCGCAUACGACCUACGGGUGAAAGCAGGGGAUCUUCGGACCUUGCGCGAUUGAAUGAGCCGAUGUCGGAUUAGCUAGUUGGCGGGGUAAAGGCCCACCAAGGCGACGAUCCGUAGCUGGUCUGAGAGGAUGAUCAGCCACACUGGAACUGAGACACGGUCCAGACUCCUACGGGAGGCAGCAGUGGGGAAUAUUGGACAAUGGGCACAAGCCUGAUCCAGCCAUACCGCGUGGGUGAAGAAGGCCUUCGGGCUGUAAAGCCCUUUUGUUGGGAAAGAAAAGCAGCAGGUUAAUACCCCGCUGUUCUGACGGUACCCAAAGAAUAAGCACCGGCUAACUUCGUG
RNAcentral lists this ribosomal RNA (492 nucleotides) under uncultured bacterium. RNAcentral describes it as "partial 16S ribosomal RNA". It matches the Rfam family "Bacterial small subunit ribosomal RNA", at positions 29 to 507 of the family's 1533-position model. The record is from RNAcentral.